ACCGCCCAUCGCUACUAUCGAUUGAAUGGUUUAAUGAGGUCGUUGGAUUGAUGUCGUUGUAGUGGCUUUGCCGCUCGACUGAUGCUGAGAAGAUGAAUUAAUUUAACUAUUUAAGGGAAGUAAAAGUUGUAACAAGAUUUCCGUAGGUGAACCUGUGGGAG
Molecule: non-coding RNA, 161 nt
Filed under: Schistosoma haematobium
Lineage: Eukaryota; Metazoa; Platyhelminthes; Trematoda; Strigeidida; Schistosomatidae
Description: Eukaryotic small subunit ribosomal RNA
Rfam family: Eukaryotic small subunit ribosomal RNA
Source: Rfam by way of RNAcentral